RNAcentral lists this ribosomal RNA (492 nucleotides) under uncultured bacterium. RNAcentral describes it as "partial 16S ribosomal RNA". It matches the Rfam family "Bacterial small subunit ribosomal RNA", at positions 29 to 507 of the family's 1533-position model. The record is from RNAcentral.
AGUGAACGCUGGCGGUAGGCCUAACACAUGCAAGUCGAACGGCAGCACAGUAAGAGCUUGCUCUUACGGGUGGCGAGUGGCGGACGGGUGAGGAAUACAUCGGAAUCUACUUUUUCGGGGGGGAUAACGUAGGGAAACUUACGCUAAUACCGCAUACGACCUACGGGUGGAAGCAGGGGAUCUUCGGACUUUGCGCGAUUGAUUGAGCCGAUGUCGGAUUAGCUAGUUGGCGGGGUAAAGGCCCACCAAGGCGACGAUCCGUAGCUGGUCUGAGAGGAUGAUCAGCCACACUGGAACUGAGACACGGUCCAGACUCCUACGGGAGGCAGCAGUGGGGAAUAUUGGACAAUGGGCGCAAGCCUGAUCCAGCCAUACCGCGUGGGUGAAGAAGGCCUUCGGGUUGUAAAGCCCUUUUGUUGGGAAAGAAAAGCAGCAGGUUAAUACCCCGCUGUUCUGACGGUACCCAAAGAAUAAGCACCGGCUAACUUCGUG